Molecule: ribosomal RNA, 231 nt
Filed under: uncultured bacterium
Lineage: Bacteria
Description: partial 16S ribosomal RNA
Rfam family: Bacterial small subunit ribosomal RNA
Source: RNAcentral
UAACGCGUAGGUAACCUGCCUUGUAGCGGGGGAGUAACUAUUGGAAACGAUAGCUAAUACCGCAUAACAAUGGGUGACUCAUGUCAUUUAUUUUAAAGGGGGCAAAAUGCUCCACUACAAGAUGGACCUGCGUUGUAUUAGCUAGUAGGUGAGGUAACGGCUCACCUAGGCGACGAUACAUAGCCGACCUGAGAGGGUGAUCGGCCACACUGGGACUGAGACACGGCCCAG